UGGCUAUGAGGAGAAAUUGUAAACUGAAUUACUAUGAUUGUUACUUACGCUAUUCUGAGCCAACA
Molecule: small nucleolar RNA, 65 nt
Organism: Chelonoidis abingdonii (Abingdon island giant tortoise)
Lineage: Eukaryota; Metazoa; Chordata; Testudines; Testudinidae
Gene: SNORD54
Product: small nucleolar RNA, C/D box 54
Source: Ensembl